This 449-nucleotide ribosomal RNA is filed under the name uncultured bacterium. RNAcentral's name for it is "partial 16S ribosomal RNA". It matches the Rfam family "Bacterial small subunit ribosomal RNA", at positions 329 to 795 of the family's 1533-position model. The record is from RNAcentral.
GCCCAGACUCCUACGGGAGGCAGCAGUGGGGAAUAUUGCACAAUGGGGGAAACCCUGAUGCAGCGACGCCGCGUGAGCGAAGAAGUAUUUCGGUAUGUAAAGCUCUAUCAGCAGGGAAGAAAUUGACGGUACCUGAGUAAGAAGCUCCGGCUAAAUACGUGCCAGCAGCCGCGGUAAUACGUAGGUGGCAAGCGUUGUCCGGAUUUACUGGGUGUAAAGGGCGUGUAGCCGGGAAGGCAAGUCAGAUGUGAAAUCCGGAGGCUCAACCUCCGAAUUGCAUUUGAAACUGUUUUUCUUGAGUACUGGAGAGGCAGACGGAAUUCCUUGUGUAGCGGUGAAAUGCGUAGAUAUAAGGAGGAACACCAGUGGCGAAGGCGGUCUGCUGGACAGCAACUGACGGUGAGGCGCGAAAGCGUGGGGAGCAAACAGGAUUAGAUACCCUAGUAACA